GAUGAACGCUGGCGGCGUGCCUAAUACAUGCAAGUCGAGCGAACGGACGAGAAGCUUGCUUCUCUGAUGUUAGCGGCGGACGGGUGAGUAACACGUGGAUAACCUACCUAUAAGACUGGGAUAACUUCGGGAAACCGGAGCUAAUACCAGAUCAUAUUUUGAACCGCAUGGUUCAAAAGUGAAAGACGGUCUUGCUGUCACUUAUAGAUGGAUCCGCGCUGCAUUAGCUAGUUGGUAAGGUAACGGCUUACCAAGGCAACGAUGCAUAGCCGACCUGAGAGGGUGAUCGGCCACACUGGAACUGAGACACGGUCCAGACUCCUACGGGAGGCAGCAGUAGGGAAUCUUCCGCAAUGGGCGAAAGCCUGACGGAGCAACGCCGCGUGAGUGAUGAAGGUCUUCGGAUCGUAAAACUCUGUUAUUAGGGAAGAACAUAUGUGUAAGUAACUGUGCACAUCUUGACGGUACCUAAUCAGAAAGCCACGGCUAACUACGUG
RNAcentral lists this ribosomal RNA (497 nucleotides) under uncultured bacterium. RNAcentral's name for it is "partial 16S ribosomal RNA". It matches the Rfam family "Bacterial small subunit ribosomal RNA", at positions 28 to 507 of the family's 1533-position model. The record is from RNAcentral.